Molecule: ribosomal RNA, 408 nt
Filed under: uncultured bacterium
Lineage: Bacteria
Description: partial 16S ribosomal RNA
Rfam family: Bacterial small subunit ribosomal RNA
Source: RNAcentral
GACGAACGCUGGCGGCGUGCUCAACACAUGCAAGUCGAACGAAGUGGCGAACGGGUGAGUAACGCGUAAUCAACCUGCCCUUCAGAGGGGGACAACAGUUGGAAACGACUGCUAAUACCGCAUACGGAAGGAGGGGAUUGUGUCUGAUUCGCUAGUUGGGGGGGUAACGGCCUACCAAGGCGAUGAGCAGGAGCCGGUCUGAGAGGAUGAACGGGCACAUUUGGACUUGGACACGGGCCAUACUCCUACGGGAGGCAGCAGUGGGGGAACUUCGGCAAUGGACGAAAGUCUGACUGAGCAACGCCGCGGUAGUGAUGACGGCCCUCGGGUUGUAAAGCUCUGUUAAUCGGGACGCGGUACCGGAAUAGAAAGCAACGGCUAACUACGUGCCAGCAGCCGCGGUAAUAC